RNAcentral lists this long non-coding RNA (886 nucleotides) under Olea europaea subsp. europaea. Lineage: Eukaryota; Viridiplantae; Streptophyta; Magnoliopsida; Lamiales; Oleaceae. The record is from RNAcentral.
GCGAAACAGCUAUAUUGUUUCUUUCAGUUCUCUUUUCUCGGUAGUUUUAACUUUUGCCUUGAUUGGAACAUGGACUUUUGCUCCAGCACUAGUUACAUGACAGCAGAGGAAUGGAGCCAGCAACAGAAGAAAGAGGAAGCAGUGCAUGCUAGCUGUCUUCGUGUUCCACGCAGGCACACAUUCCCCUUCUCUUGAUUUCAAUUCGACUGUACAUUAUAUAUUGAAGUUUUUAAAUAUCUCUCUCUUUUUGGGGCCCCACGGAGUACUAAAAUGUCUGUAGAAGAACUUGAUGCUAAUGAAAGACGUGCUUUUUUGAGUGGCGCAGCAGCCUUGCAAGGUCAUGCUGUCUCAUAUGACAUCACAAAUUCAAUUGUUUUUGUAUAUUUUGGUGCCUGUUUAUAACUGUUUGCCGAAAUGCCGGUUUUCUUUUGGUACUUGAUGCACUGUGCUGCUAAAAAUUUUGAUUUUGAAAAUCUUGUUCCAUCUUUCCAUGAUUAAUGUGUAUAUACCACUUCUCAUUGUAUAAAUUUGCUGCAAGCUUGAGGGGAAUGAUAAGCUAAUUCUCACUCCAUUCGAGAAGAACCUAGAUAUAUGGAGACAGCUUUGGAGGUGGUUGAACGCAGUGAUUUGGUGAGUUUAUAAUAUCUCCAUGUCAAAGUUAGCAUUGAAUCCUUUGAAGAGUAUGAUUGUGUUAUUGUGACUAAUGAACAUAUCAUAAACUUUUAGUAUACUUGUUCUCUGUUUAGUCAAACCAAUUUUAGUUAACUAAACUGUACCCAAGUAAGUAUUUGGAACAUUGGUGAUUGGGAAGAUUCCAGUCAUUAAAAGCCUGGAAGCAAAAGAAAUUUGCCAUGUUUUGGAAUCCUAGAUUUAAUUGUUUGGCCAG